AGGUCUCGGCCACACUUGGUUUGAGCCAGGGCCCAAAUUCCUCAGGGAGGCAACCCUUGGGAAUUUUCCGCAAUUAACGAAAGUUCGACGGAGCACCGCCGAGUGAGUCAUGAAAGUUUUCGGAUUGUAAAACUCUGUUGUUAGGGAAGAACAAGUACCGUUCGAAUAGGACGGUACCUUGACGGUACCUAACCAGAAAGCCACGGCUAACUACGUGCCAGCAGCCGCGGUAAUACGUAGGUGGCAAGCGGUGUCCGGAAUUUUUGGGCGUAAAGCGCGCGCAGGCGGUUGGUUAAGUAUGAUGUGAAAGCCCCCGGCUCAACCGGGGAGGGUCAUUGGAAACUGGGGAACUUGAGUGCAGAAGAGGAUUGUGGAAUUCCACGUGUAGCGGUGAAAUGCGUAGAGAUGUGGAGGAACACCAGUGGCGAAGGCGACUCUCUGGUCUGUAACUGACGCUGAGGCGCGAAAGCGUGGGGAGCGAACAGGAUUAGAUACCCUGGUAGUCCACGCCGUAAACGAUGAGUGCUAAGUGUUAGAGGGUUUCCGCCCUUUAGUGCUGCAGCAAACGCAUUAAGCACUCCGCCUGGGGAGUACGGUCGCAAGACUGAAACUCAAAGGAAUUGACGGGGGCCCGCACAAGCGGUGGAGCAUGUGGUUUAAUUCGAAGCAACGCGAAGAACCUUACCAGGUCUUGACAUCCUCUGACAACCCUAGAGAUAGGGCUUCCCCUUCGGGGGCAGAGUGACAGGUGGUGCAAAGUUGUCGUCAGCUCGUGUCGUGAGAUGUUGGGUUAAGUCCCGCAACGAGCGCAACCCUUGAUCUUAGUUGCCAGCAUUCAGUUGGGCACUCUAAGGUGACUGCCGUGGACAAACCGGAGGAAGGUUUGGAUGACGUCAAAUCAUCAUGCCCCUUAUGACCUGGGCUACACACGUGGGACAAUGGGCAGAACAAAGGGCAGCGAAGCCGCGAGGCUCCGCCAAUCAAACAAAUCUGUACUCAGUUCGGAUCGCAGUCUGCAACUCGACUGCGUGAAGCUGGAAUCGCUAGUGAUCGCGGAUCAGCGUGCCGCGGUGAAUACGUUCCCGGGCCUUGUACACACCGCCCGUCACACCACGAGAGUAUGUAACACCCGAAGUCGGUGAGGUAACCUCCUGG
RNAcentral lists this ribosomal RNA (1155 nucleotides) under Bacillus sp. (in: firmicutes). Its description in RNAcentral is "bacterial SSU rRNA". It matches the Rfam family "Bacterial small subunit ribosomal RNA", at positions 299 to 1446 of the family's 1533-position model. Lineage: Bacteria; Bacillati; Bacillota; Bacilli; Caryophanales; Bacillaceae. The record is from RNAcentral.